GACUCCAAGGCCCAAUAGAUAAGGUGUUGGUUUACGAAACCAGAGAUUUUGGGUUCGAUCCCCAGUGGAGUCG
Ipomoea nil (Japanese morning glory) is the source of this 73-nucleotide transfer RNA. It matches the Rfam family "tRNA". Rfam says of the family: Transfer RNA (tRNA) molecules are approximately 80 nucleotides in length. Lineage: Eukaryota; Viridiplantae; Streptophyta; Magnoliopsida; Solanales; Convolvulaceae. The record is from Rfam.